GAUGAACGCUGGCGGCGUGCCUAAUACAUGCAAGUCGAGCGAACAGACGAGGAGCUUGCUCCUCUGACGUUAGCGGCGGACGGGUGAGUAACACGUGGAUAACCUACCUAUAAGACUGGGAUAACUUCGGGAAACCGGAGCUAAUACCGGAUAAUAUAUUGAACCGCAUGGUUCAAUAGUGAAAGACGGUUUUGCUGUCACUUAUAGAUGGAUCCGCGCCGCAUUAGCUAGUUGGUAAGGUAACGGCUUACCAAGGCAACGAUGCGUAGCCGACCUGAGAGGGUGAUCGGCCACACUGGGACUGAGACACGGUCCAGACUCCUACGGGAGGCAGCAGUAGGGAAUCUUCCGCAAUGGGCGAAAGCCUGACGGAGCAACGCCGCGUGAGAGAUGAAGGUCUUCGGAUCGUAAAACUCUGUUAUUAGGGAAGAACAAAUGUGUAAGUAACUAUGCACGUCUUGACGGUACCUAAUCAGAAAGCCACGGCUAACUACGUG
Molecule: ribosomal RNA, 497 nt
Filed under: uncultured bacterium
Lineage: Bacteria
Description: partial 16S ribosomal RNA
Rfam family: Bacterial small subunit ribosomal RNA
Source: RNAcentral